Molecule: long non-coding RNA, 4380 nt
Organism: Cercocebus atys (sooty mangabey)
Lineage: Eukaryota; Metazoa; Chordata; Mammalia; Primates; Cercopithecidae
Exons: 3
Source: RefSeq, a predicted model, not a curated record
CCUGACCUCGUGAUCUGCCCUCCUCAACCUCCCAAAGUGGUGGGAUUACAGGCGUGAGCCACCACACCUGGAUGAUUUGUUCUAUUCUCUCUUCUCCAAACAUGUUACAUGUUUUCUCAUUCCCAUGAAUUGAAGCUAUUUAUUUCUCCUUUGUUUCUUAUACAUGCUUCUUACAGUGUUUGCCUGUUUACCUAUAGAAAUUCUAUUCGUCCUUCAAGACAAAGCUUAAAUGCCAUCUUAUUCAUAAAGGUUUUCCCAACCUACCCUGUUAAAUCAUCGCCUCUCCUGCAAUACACGUCUGUCAUGCAUUUGUAUUAUUCUGCUUUAUGUAGCAUCAUUUUAUAUGGCUUGUCUUCUCUCCUUCUUAGAGACAAUAAGUGUAUUCAGGGCAAGACUGGUUACUCCCUCAUUGAAUCUAGUACCUUGCUCAAUGCCCUGCAAUCAAUAAUAUCUGUUGGAAUGAAUUAAUUUGAAUAGGUUAAAUUAUAUCAUCGUGCUUUUGCAUGCACAUCACCUUAACUGGUGCCCCUGACCUAUUUUUGGUGCAUAUCCUUGAGUUUCAUUUUGGUAAUGGAAGAAAUAUCAAGCAGAAGAAAAGAUAAAUACCCAGAGCCGGUCAGCAUGAUCUAUUGUGUUUGAACAGGAAUAUUGGAACAUAACUUCUAAGAAUGCCAUUUCAAUUAUUUGUAAAAUAUUUAAAUAGUAUAAUCCAAUUUACAUUCUAUCAUUUCUAACAGCUGUAAAAUUUACUUUACACCAAAGUUAGCUCAAUCACUUUAAUUCAGUCUGGAAAAACAGUACAAAUGAAAGCUUAAUUUGUAUUUAAUCUCCUCUUUUGUUUCUACAUUAUUGCCUUCGAAUCAUUCCUUUUAGUGAUUGAGAUUUAAACCGGGGAGAGGAAAAAAGCUUGAUGAAAUAUUUGAGAAGAAUAUAGCCCAUAAUGAGAAGUUGGAAGUCAGUGUUUUAAAAUUCCAACUGGCUUUUCUUUGGGGUUUCAAUUCAUGGCAAUGUCUUCGUGAUAAACCUGAGGUACGAGAUAUGUGAGUUACUUUAUCAGAAUCAUAGGGCUAUAACUCUCAGGUAUUUAAAACUAGUUGAUUCAUUUGGAGCAGGUUACAUUUAUACUCUGUAUAUGAAGAUUGGCAGGGAAUACAAAUGUACAUAAUUAUUAUUUAGUGUGUUGAUCAUACUCAUAUAUUUCCAAAUGGCUUUAUGAUCAUUUUGGUUAGUUUUUCUCUCUAGGCUCUGGCAGUCUUCCAGCUAAUGUCAUCAGCAGGGAACAGCAGCAAGGAGAGGUGGCAGAAUUGUGACUAUCCAUGGCUUUCCUGUCGCUAUAUAGUAUCAGGUGGUGGCAUUUAUAGAAGUGUUCCAGAGGCCCACACCUGUCCUUUCCUGAGCCCUUCUUCUUCAUCCCUAUACUUACUGAAUCCCACCCUCACCCCUAGCAAACCUCUUUGAAUUCAAGAGGUGGCAGAUUGAAAGAGGCUUCAAUGAAGGAUGAGAAACUGGUGAAGUAAAUUACCCCAAAUCAUGUGGUUUCCUGGCCUGGCGGGUAGGAUUUGUUUGGAUGAAAAGUGGAAAUCCAGUGGGAAAGGGACAGCUUUCAGAAGAACCUGAAGUCCUGGAGAAGAGAUUGAAUUCUGUCCUGAAAGCCACAGGGAAAUCCUGUGGUUACCACCUUCCUUUAUGUGACCUUACUCUCAAUAGUGAGUGUUUGGACCUUAUUCAUUGGAUGAGAGGCAGCUUUUGAGCCAACAAGCAACGUGGGGAAAGUGGUGUUUGAAGGUGAAUCCGUCAGGUGCUGUGUAGAUUCAAGUGGAGGGAACCUAGAAACAGAUUAGCUAAAACUAAAACUGUUUCCUAAAACACCACAAACAACAAAAGCAAAUAUUGAUUGAGCCCUCACUAUGUGCCAGGUGCUGCCCUUUACAUCUGUCAUCUUCACAAAAACCCUGUGAAGUACAUACUCAUCGUAUACCCAUUUUACAGGUUAGGAAACCAAGGUACAGAGAGGUAACUUCCUGAAGGUCACACAGCUGGCUAAUGUCCAGGUCAGGAUUCAAAUCGGAUUGCUCGAUUCCAGAAUCUGGGUUAUUGCCUACUAUGUUAUAGGCUCUUAUAACUCUUAGGACUUCGGCAGUGAUAAGUGGAAGUGGAGAUAGAGAUACAUGACGUAAAGAGUAAAUGUCAGGUAUUACAUGAUGCUGGAAUAGUAUGAGCAUGUUUAGGAAAUCCUCAGCAGGGAAGAGUUCCUUGCACAAAGAAAUUGAGUAGAGUUUAGAACAGCACGUAAAGGAAGGCAGAAGGCCUUUCUGAAAUAAGUCGGUUUAUGUUUAGAACAUGGAAGAAGAGAUAGCAUAGGAAAUUGCCAUUCUGAUGACCCUGCAUGUACUCUGCUAAAAACCAUGGAGGUUGUCUGAGAAAUGAGUAUGGUGAAAUGAGUAGAUUUGUUGGUUUUGGAGUCAGACAGAGGUGGGUGUAGGUUCCAGUCCUUUCCUUCCUAACCUGUGACCUUGGGCAGUUUGCAUAAUCUCUGCAUUUCAGUUUUCCCAUGUGUAUAUUGAGGAUAAUAGAAGCAUCAUCCUUAUUAAGAUAUUGUAAAGAUUGAGUUCAUGUAUGGAAAAGAGAUGAAAAAAUAUAUGACAUACUCCGUCAAUACCAGUUAUUACUGUUAUGCUUCUUGUUAUUACAGCGUUCACGGGUGUUAAAACAGAAUAAUGAGAUCUCUAUUUUGGAGACAGUACUUUGGUGUUAGUGGGUGCAACACAAACUCAAGAGCUGCUUGGUUUCCAAUUCUGGCUCCACCUGCUAGCUAUAUGAUUUAGGGUAAUUUACUGAACCAAUUUCUCAUCUGAAAGCAAGGAAAACAGUAUUACCUAACUUGUGAGUUGAUGAUGAUGAUUGUAUCAGUAUAAAGCAUUUAGAAUAGCACUUAGCACACUCAGUUGUUUAUUGGUGAUCUAAAAGUUGUUGUUUUUUCUUUUAAUUGUGGUUUUCUCCUCUUCAUUGCCUCUUGCCUCUGAAACAUUUAGACCUCUGGUUGUCUCUGGUGUGUCAUAGGGGCCUGUGGCCUGUGGUGUUCUCCUUGCUGAAUCCUAUUUAACUGUUGAGAAUGUACCUGGGUAAGUAGUCAUUGCUGCCUUGAAACAUAGAUUCAUGAGCAAAGUAACUAUGAAGCUUUGAUGUGAUAUGUGGGCGAUGAUCACACAUAAAGGGCACAGCACAUUGGUGACAAGAAUUUUGCUGGGCUGUGAAUUUCUGACAUUAGCCUCCUCAUUGAAUAUUAUCUGCCCCUCUUCUCUCUUGCUUGGGACCUGUACUGAGGCACGAACCUUGCUCCACAAGGGGCUGAGAGGUAACAGUACUAACUAUGGAAGCAUGCAUUUGUGUGUGUGUGUGUGUAUGAGAAUAUUAGUAGCCUGAAGGGAGAUCUCAUGCUGCUUUGCUUUGUUUCAUUUUUUUGGUUGUAAAGUUGAAUAAAAGGCACUUAGUCCAAAACUUUAAAAAAUUGCUACUGGGCAAAGUAAUUUUGUGUCAGGCUUCUGUUCAGGGCAGAUUUACACUGGUUAUAAAUCUCUGAAAUUAAGGUCUUACCGUAGAAAAGCUGAAAUGUAUUCAACAUUAGCAGACACCCAGCCCUGUUCUGAACCAGUGGCCGUUCUUCCGCCAUGUAUAAUAGGAAUAUCUAUCUAUGUGUUUGGGGGCAAUAAUAAGUUUAAAUAUGCCUCUUAGAAUGGGUAAUGGCUUUCCAAUGAGUAGCAGAAUUUUCUAUCAACAAUUCUUUUCCUAGAACCAAAGGUUAAGUUCAAGAGUUUGAUUUAAUGACAAAGUUAAUUAGGCCCUUAACAUUACAGGGUUCUUGCCUUUCAUUUUCUAAUAAAGAUCACAGUCUAAGGCCAGCAACCUUGCAGAAGUGGGGAACACAAGACUAGCACUUGUUCUUCUGAUGUUUGGGGAGGGUGACCAUAGGAGAUGAGGGGUGCUUAGCAAUCACUGAGUUGACAAAGGGCCUGGAGAAUGCCUCCUAGACCUGAAGAAUUUCAUUCUUACCUCUACAAAACCUUAGAUAUAAAAUAUGCUUGAGCUUUAAGGAAACUUAAGGAUUAUCUAAUCAGUCCUUUCAUUUUACAGCCAGGGAAACUGAGGCUAAAAGGACUAAGAAAUUUGUCAGUGGUUACAUAGUUCACUUGAGUAAUGGAUCUCCUAAGAUUAAACCACGUACUUCUAAUCAAAAUGGUCUAUCCUCAAAUACUCAUAUUCAAGGAAAAGCAAAACCUCUUCUUGGCUUAUAGGAUUUAUGUUGUUUAUGAGCUAGUUUUGCUAAAACACUUCUUCCUAUCCUUUUUUUUUUUUUUUUUCUGAGGCGGAGUGUCACGUUAU